RNAcentral lists this ribosomal RNA (255 nucleotides) under uncultured bacterium. RNAcentral's name for it is "partial 16S ribosomal RNA". It matches the Rfam family "Bacterial small subunit ribosomal RNA", at positions 524 to 776 of the family's 1533-position model. The record is from RNAcentral.
UACAGAGGUCCCAAGCGUUGUUCGGAUUCACUGGGCGUAAAGGGUGCGUAGGCGGUCGGGUAAGUCUGAUGUGAAAUCUCACAGCUUAACUGUGAAACUGCAAUUUGGAUACUAUCCGGCUAGAGGAAUGGAGGGGGAGACUGGAAUACUUGGUGUAGCAGUGAAAUGCGUAGAUAUCAAGUGGAACACCAGUGGCGAAGGCGAGUCUCUGGACAUUUCCUGACGCUGAGGCACGAAAGCCAGGGAGCAAACGGG